This 72-nucleotide transfer RNA is filed under the name Camelus bactrianus (Bactrian camel). It matches the Rfam family "tRNA". From Rfam's summary of the family: Transfer RNA (tRNA) molecules are approximately 80 nucleotides in length. The record is from Rfam by way of RNAcentral. Lineage: Eukaryota; Metazoa; Chordata; Mammalia; Artiodactyla; Camelidae. RNAcentral also lists the same sequence under 1 other name.
GGUGGUACAGCUCAGUGGUAGAGUGCCUGCUUAGCAUGCAGGAGGUCCUGCAUUCAAUACCCAGUACCACCA